AUUGAACGCUAGCGGCAGGCCUAACACAUGCAAGUCGAGCGGAUGAAGGGAGCUUGCUCCUGGAUUCAGCGGCGGACGGGUGAGUAAUGCCUAGGAAUCUGCCUGGUAGUGGGGGAUAACGUCCGGAAACGGGCGCUAAUACCGCAUACGUCCUGAGGGAGAAAGUGGGGGAUCUUCGGACCUCACGCUAUCAGAUGAGCCUAGGUCGGAUUAGCUAGUUGGUGGGGUAAAGGCCUACCAAGGCGACGAUCCGUAACUGGUCUGAGAGGAUGAUCUGUCACACUGGAACUGAGACACGGUCCAGACUCCUACGGGAGGCAGCAGUGGGGAAUAUUGGACAAUGGGCGAAAGCCUGAUCCAGCCAUGCCGCGUGUGUGAAGAAGGUCUUCGGAUUGUAAAGCACUUUAAGUUGGGAGGAAGGGCAGUAAGUUAAUACCUUGCUGUUUUGACGUUACCAACAGAAUAAGCACCGGCUAACUUCGUG
RNAcentral lists this ribosomal RNA (484 nucleotides) under uncultured bacterium. Its description in RNAcentral is "partial 16S ribosomal RNA". It matches the Rfam family "Bacterial small subunit ribosomal RNA", at positions 30 to 507 of the family's 1533-position model. The record is from RNAcentral.